UACGAAGGGGGCUAGCGUUGCUCGGAAUUACUGGGCGUAAAGCGCACGUAGGCGGCUUCUUAAGUCGGUGGUGAAAUCCUGGAGCUCAACUCCAGAACUGCCCUUCGAUACUGGGGAAGCUCGGAGUCCGGGAGAGGUGAGUGGGAACUGGCGAGUGGUAGAGGUGAAAUUCGUAGAAUUAUUCGCAAGAACACCCAAGUG
RNAcentral lists this ribosomal RNA (201 nucleotides) under uncultured bacterium. RNAcentral's name for it is "partial 16S ribosomal RNA". It matches the Rfam family "Bacterial small subunit ribosomal RNA", at positions 524 to 716 of the family's 1533-position model. The record is from RNAcentral.